UACGUAGGGUGCGAGCGUUAAUCGGAAUUACCGGGCGUAAAGCGUGCGCAGGCGAUUUUGUAAGUCAGAUGUGAAAUCCCCGAGCUCACCUUGGGAACUGCGUUUGAAACUACAAGACUAGAAUAUGUCAGAGGGGGGUAGAAUUCCACGUGUAGCAGUGAAAUGCGUAGAGAUGUGGAGGAAUACCAAUGGCGAAGGCAGCCCCCUGGGAUAAUAUUGACGCUCAUGCACGAAAGCGUGGGGAACAAACAGGAUUAGAUACCCCAGUAGUCC
This 273-nucleotide ribosomal RNA is filed under the name uncultured Methylophilaceae bacterium. Its description in RNAcentral is "partial 16S ribosomal RNA". It matches the Rfam family "Bacterial small subunit ribosomal RNA", at positions 524 to 796 of the family's 1533-position model. Lineage: Bacteria; Pseudomonadati; Pseudomonadota; Betaproteobacteria; Nitrosomonadales; Methylophilaceae. The record is from RNAcentral.